Daphnia magna is the source of this 3800-nucleotide long non-coding RNA. RefSeq lists it as uncharacterized. The transcript has 13 exons. The record is from RefSeq and is a predicted model, not a curated record. NCBI's taxonomy places the organism in Eukaryota, Metazoa, Arthropoda, Branchiopoda, Diplostraca, Daphniidae.
GAUAAACAUGGCAACCUUGAAAAAAAAAAUGGUAGAAAGUUGAAAGGACUUUGACGUAUUUCGAUGAAUUUCAAGCAGUCGUGCAGUGGGGAAGGUUAAGUGUAAUUAAACUUACAUUGGGCAACAUAAUUUUUCUGAAAUUAUCAAAGAAUUCACUGGGUUUUCUUCUUCAUUUGGUCUGUUUUCGUCCAUUUCAAAACUCUGGACGCCGAUGAACGGACAAUAAAAACAACCAGGGUUGUUUCUACACAUCAUCUAGCCGCAUUCUUUCGGCUCAAAAAAUUGGUGGCAGCAACCUUCUUCAAGGUCCGUGUGAACAAUUGUACGUGGCAAACAUCACGUCUACACUCUACAGUUUUUAAACAGUUGGACUCGAUACGAAAAAGCUCGAUAAAUAAAACCGAGAAAUGUUGAAGCUGCUGACUGAAGGAGAAAUGUACCUUGUUGGAAACGCGAUCUGCAAAGGUGCACAUUAAGAUUAGGUGAACUAAAGCAAACAAUAAAAAGGGCAGACUUGUUGCUAUGUCGGGUUCCAUGCCAAACAGGUAAAAGCUCGAAUUAAUGAUGGCAACAAAAUAAAAGGCCAUAAAAUAUCUUUGCUUCACUGCAAACACGAAACGUCUGACGUUUUCGUGUUGGCUGUUCAAUAGCUGAAUUUCGCUCCGCUCGAUUUCCGUCUGGAUCAGCUCAAAUGCAAGAGACGAAGCGUAGCAGUGAAUGACAAACGAAAGCCAAGCAGUCAUCGGAUAGAUGGCUGAUAAAGUCGAAAUGGAAUUGAUGAAGACACGGUGGUCAAAACAAGUUCUCGUGCUCAGUUCGUUAUACGUGACCAAAUAUAUAAUUCCAGACACCUGUAAUCAUUCAAGCUCUCACCACCAAGAUGAUGUAAACGAUUCCGAACGAAGACAUUAUGCGAAUUCGAUUGCAAUUGUUUGCUGCGAAAACGAGUUUCAUUCGAUUGAAACUUUCCAGCAGAUCGAUUGGUCGCAUGGCAGUCAGCAAGAUAAUACGUUUUUGUGCGGAAAAUCACGAGCCCCUCGGGCGGAUCAAGCGAGGCUUGCAUUCGUAAGGUGUGCAAGAAAUAGAAAAUGACGACCAGGCAAGUGAUUUGCACCAAAAAACAGAAAACUCUGUAUGCAAAUGUAAGCCAUCGAAAGGUCUUGCUGGAAAAAGUUGAAAUCUCUGCCAGUUCAACGCCAAGAAUCCGGCUCCAGAUUAACAAUGGGCGAAUGGUCCAUGCCCAGCAUCUUGUUGGAGAUGACUGGACGGGUGUCUCUUGUGAUGGCGGACUUUCUCGUGCGACCAUUAUGGUUUGACUAGAAAGGGGAAUUCAAGACAAAGAGAAACGGUUGCUAUGUUUCAUUCGUUUCUUCCCUUCAUUCAAAACCAAUCGGUGCAAUUCGGCGAUGGCGUCUUCGAGAAACUGAAUCAUCAAAAACAAUGACAACACUCUGCAAGGUUUAAAAAGAUAAAUUUAUUGCAGGCUGUUUUUUGAAGUUGUACAUUAGGACUUGAUAACGUGAGGCAGCUGUGAACGCCAUGUCACUUUCUCCGGUGCCAUUUUUGGAUUGCAUCCAUUAGCUACACUAUAACGCUCGGAAUAACAAGAAGUCGACUCAUGUCUAAUAGACGAACGCAAGUGUCCAACGCGAGCGCUGGAAAAUGUGCAGCAUAUCGAUCCCUCUCGCACGAAGGCAGUUUGACGUAACCGUAUGAGGAAUAGAAACUAGUCCUACAAGUGCCUCAGCAAGAUUUGCACUUGCAUAGCACGUGACAGGUGCGCUUAUAUCUGACAUGUUACGUGGAGAGAAACAACCACCUCUUUUCAGGAAUGCCAGCUGUUUAUAGCGCUUGCUAGAUACAGAUGAACCAUUAUGGUGACUUUGCAGGUAUGCUUGUACACAGAUACAAAAGAUGAGCACUGUAAUAAUUGUAAUCAGCUGGAUUGUGGUCGCUUGUGGAAACGAACGAGGACCAUCGCGGCCUGGCCAACAAAAACUAGGCAUUAGUGUGUUUCCGUAACAAAUAUUACUCUGACAGUGUGUGUGAAUCAGGUAAAAAUUUUCAAGUGCCUGGAAGAACCCACCUCGGUGAUUAUAGUGUGUGUGUUAACAGCAUUAAAUUGAUGUAGAGCAAAGUUUUUUCUCAGAAACUUCAAACUGGCAGAGGAUGAAGAAGUAAGUAAGGGAUGUUCCAAUCACCUACUCGAGAUCAGUUGUUUAAUCAAAAUCAAACUAUAUGUGAGAAACAAACUUACUUGUGGAAAAAGCUUCCUACUAACGUUGAAGUAACCGUUGGCGCUUAUCUGUGGGAUUGUGUGGGUCAUCUCCCAAACUAAUGUGUUCAUCUAGACACGAGAAAAAAAGAAAUUUUAUCUACUCUUUAGCGGUACUUAUGACAUUUGUUAUACCUGCUGCUUCUGUAAUCCUUUCAGUGGCUCGUCGCAUUUUAGGCUUAACAACUCUUUCAUUGCAUUGUCGGCCUGUUAUAAAGCAACAAAAUCUUCAUAUCUCAUUGGGAGGUAAAGCAAGUGACCGUUAAAUUAAAUAAAACAAAUAAAGAGAAAAUUAUAUCUGGCAAGGUUAUGUGGUUGUCCAGUCCAAACAAGUAAAAACUUGAAUUGAUGAUGGCCACAAAAUAAGACGUGGUAGCAAGAAGCAAGUAGCAGCCAAAACUAUCGUUAAUGCCAUCAACUGUUUCAUUGGCGAGAAUAUGUCUUUCUUUGAACGCAAGUAUUAAUUGGCUGCUGUCUUGUUCUCGGCCAUUCAUUAGCUGGAUCUCGUUGCGCUUUACUUCGGUCUGGAUCGAUUCGAAUGCAAGAGAAGAAGCGUAGCAAUGAGUUAAAAACAGAACUAAAGCAGUCAGUGGAUAAACGAUUGAUAUAGUCGCCAUGAAGCUGAUGAAGAUUCGUUGAAUGGAGGAAGUUCCCACUGCAAAGUGGUAACCCGUAGAGAUGGCGGUAAGUCCCAAAAUCUACAUACCAAAUGUAAUACUACGAGCAAAAUUAUGGCCACUACCCCCAAUGAGGACAUAUUGCGAAUUCGGAUGUAAUUUUCUUCGACAAAGACGCCCUCCAAACGCUGAAAAAUGUUUCUUAAACGAAUCCAUUUCGUACGGAUGAUGGUUAGCAAAAUAAUUUAGAUCCACCGGCUUGUUCAAGUGAACCCGGCUCCCAUUUAGUGAACAAAUAGCACAAAAGGUUAAUCUGUCCGGCUGCGUGUGACGAAAAACAGAGAAUGCCAUAAGCUAACAUUACCCACCGAUGGCAUAAACUGGAAAACGUUGAUACAUCAGGAAGAGAUACACCAAGAAAACGGAGCCAAAUGAUCAGAGGACGAAUACUCCAUGCCCAGCUGUUAAUCGUGGUCGAUUCUACUUCUAUCUCACGGGAGGACGAACUGACUGGGAUAGCCAUUACUGUCGGACUAACACAAAAAGUUGCAUUUAAUACAUUGAUGAAAUUUGGUUCUUCUCUUGGGUGUGGCAUUUGUGUAAACACACUGGAAUAUGCAGGAUGGCUGGGUACGUCAAACAAUCACCAUGCGACAGCCAGUAAAGUGUUGUGUUACGCAAUACUGGUAUCGAUUUAUCACUCUCUUGUUAAAAAUGGACAUCAAUAUCAUUAUUGAGUAUCAUUAUAUCAAUACCCUUGUCCCAAAUUUGGUUGUGUCUGCCUAUUUGGAGGUAUACAAAUGCUAACAAAAUGAACACAAAUGUAAAAAACUGGCGAGCAAAAACUUUUGAAACGUUUGUAAUGAAGUGUUAUCAGUUCCUAUAACAAAGUUAAUCUUUUUUUCACA